This 219-nucleotide long non-coding RNA is filed under the name Lathyrus oleraceus (garden pea). RNAcentral's name for it is "Pisum sativum (pea) long non-coding RNA (PSAT_LNC000334)". The record is from RNAcentral. Lineage: Eukaryota; Viridiplantae; Streptophyta; Magnoliopsida; Fabales; Fabaceae.
CUUGGGUGUUUAGUUUGAAUGAAUUCAAGAUGUAAUGGUUGUGAAGGUUGAAGAUUUUGUCUUUCAAAAUGUGUAAGACCAUCAGGGAUAUUGGAGGACUCAGAUUUAGAAACUGAUAUAUCUGAAUUGAAAGGCGUAUGGUAAUAUCAAUUUGGCUUAAAAGGAAAAAUAUAUUCAUGAUGGACAAUAUUUCUAGAUAGAAUAAUUUCUUUCUUAUUG